AUGCUCCCCCGUCCUCCUCCCGUGGCCUCGCCGCCGGCCUCCUCCCGUGGCCCCGCCGCCGGCCUCAUCCCGCGGAUGCGCCGCCGGCCUGCCGGGAUCGAGCAUGCCCCCAAGAUCGCCCCUGGCCUGGUUCUUCUGCCGUCCCCGUCCCCUUCCCCACCCCCGCCCCCCAGAUCGCGCCGCGCGCCGCCCCUGACCUCCGGCCGGAACCCCGCCCCUCCCCGCCGCCGAGGUCCGACCCCCAGGGGCCCAGCCAAGAUGGUCUGCCGCUGGCUAGGUCCGCCGCUACAGGAUCUCCCAACUGCUCCUCCCGGUGACGUCGCCCUCCACAUGCGCCUCCUCGCUGCUCCAACCCAGCCACGAGCACCAGAUCUUCAGAGUCAUGGCCUGCACGUGUGGGCAUGGGCACGUCGCAUGUUCAGGUGUCCCUUUCUUCCCCACAAGUCCAUCACCUCCCGUCCAGCUGGCUGUAUCCACACGUCUCCGAUGACCUCCUCUGGACUUGUGCCCAGGCUCCUUCUGAACUCCUCGCGUCUCCUUCGUCUUCGACCAACAACAGCGACCCCGUUUUAG
This 573-nucleotide ribosomal RNA is filed under the name Triticum aestivum (bread wheat). RNAcentral's name for it is "partial small subunit ribosomal RNA". Lineage: Eukaryota; Viridiplantae; Streptophyta; Magnoliopsida; Poales; Poaceae. The record is from RNAcentral.